RNAcentral lists this ribosomal RNA (332 nucleotides) under uncultured bacterium. RNAcentral describes it as "bacterial SSU rRNA". It matches the Rfam family "Bacterial small subunit ribosomal RNA", at positions 568 to 898 of the family's 1533-position model. The record is from RNAcentral.
CGCGCAGGUGGCACAGUAAGUCCGCUGUGAAAUCUCCCGGCCCAACUGGGAGGGGCCAGUGGAUACUGCUGAGCCUGAGAGCAGCAGAGGUCGGUGGAAUUCCUGGUGUAGUGGUGAAAUGCGUAGAGAUCAGGAGGAACACCGGUGGCGAAGGCGGCCGACUGGGCUGCGACUGACGCUGAGGCGCGAAAGCUCGGGGAGCGAACGGGAUUAGAUACCCCGGUAGUCCGAGCCGUAAACGAUGGGUACUAGGUGUUCGUGGUAUCGACCCCACGGGUGCCGGAGCUAACGCGAUAAGUACCCCGCCUGGGGAGUACGGCCGCAAGGUUAAA